RNAcentral lists this long non-coding RNA (934 nucleotides) under Vigna radiata. RNAcentral describes it as "long non-coding RNA (VRAD_LNC003969)". Lineage: Eukaryota; Viridiplantae; Streptophyta; Magnoliopsida; Fabales; Fabaceae. The record is from RNAcentral.
GAUGAGUCGUUAUUUCUUGAACCAUAUUUAGUUUAUUGCACUUAAAUAAAUCAGGGAAUUGUGUUUAAUUGUCUGUUAUUUCCCCGUUUUUCGAAUUGUGCUUAAUUUGGUCAGAAAUUUGUAUUUUCGCUAAUUUGGAUAUUUUGAGCCGAUUAAGCGUAUUUUUGGUUACAGGGAAAUUGUGGAAAUAUCAUCUGGAGCAUUAGGAUAUGGCAUGGCACAUUCAAGACUCAAUAUUUAGUCAUUUAGAUUUUAAUUAAAGUUGUAAUUUCGUUUUCUAGAAGCCUUUGAUUANAAUUAGGUGUUUUGGACCCUUUUAGGGACAUUUUUGUAAAAAACCAAUUGUGGGGGCCAUGUGGCAUCUCUUUAGGGCUGACAUGUAGUGUUUGGACCCCACCAAAUGUGAAACUCUUGGUAUUUGGGGUGUGAAAACCGAGCCACACAAAAGGGAGACCCAUAGCUCAUGGUUUUGGUUCAUUUUCCUAGGGUUUCUCUUGUUUUGAACAUGCUCUCAUGGGUGCUUGCUUGGUGCACGGUUUUGGACCAUUUUCAAUGAAUAUUAUGAAGAUUUUCUUCUUCCCUUGACUCACUCUUGGUUGUCUUAACUCAUUUGUGGUGAAAAUCCAUUCAUUCCUCCUUCCAUUUGCUUGUUUUUUAUGUUUGAAGCUUGAGUUUUUAAGCUUGUCUUUGCUUUUCUAUGGUGGUUGUUGGGUUUGAGUGACUUUAGAUUUUCGUUUCCUCUUCCAUUGUUGCUGUUCCUCACGUUUUUCUUUGCAUUUUAUUUGUUUGGUUGAUAAAAAUGGAAUUCUAUGUGAGUUUUGGGUUGAAUAGAGCUUAACUUGAUGUGUGGGUGUUAUGGGUUUGGCUCUUUUCCUUCAUAUUUUGGUUUUGAUGUUUGAAACUAGUUUGGAACCAGACUUUGAUGAUGUUAUUG